This 301-nucleotide ribosomal RNA is filed under the name uncultured bacterium. RNAcentral describes it as "partial 16S ribosomal RNA". It matches the Rfam family "Bacterial small subunit ribosomal RNA", at positions 509 to 807 of the family's 1533-position model. The record is from RNAcentral.
CAGUCGCCGCGGUAAUACGAAGGGUGCAAGCGUUACUCGGAAUUACUGGGCGUAAAGCGUGCGUAGGUGGCGGUUUAAGUCCGUUGUGAAAGCCCUGGGCUCAACCUGGGAAUUGCAGUUGAUACUGGGUCACUAGAGUGUGGUAGAGGAUAGUGGAAUUUCCGGUGUAGCAGUGAAAUGCGUAGAGAUCGGAAGGAACAUCUGUGGCGAAGGCGACUAUCUGGGCCAACACUGACACUGAGGCACGAAAGCGUGGGGAGCAAACAGGAUUAGAUACCCCUGUAGUCCCUGUCUCUUAUAC